RNAcentral lists this unclassified non-coding RNA (976 nucleotides) under Hevea brasiliensis (rubber tree). Lineage: Eukaryota; Viridiplantae; Streptophyta; Magnoliopsida; Malpighiales; Euphorbiaceae. The record is from RNAcentral.
AUCAAUCAUAGAGCAUCCAUCAGCGCACAGCAGGGUUGGGAAUGUAUCAAAACCUUCAGAGAGACAUAAUUCAAGAAUCAGCCUUAUACCCCUUUGGCAUUCUGGCAUCUCAGCCAAAGAAGUGUCCCCUGUAGACUUUGUGUAUGCACGAAGUAGUAUAAUCCACCAGAACCCUGAAUCAACAGGAGCAACUCUACCAAUAGCACUUUCACCGAAAUCAGCAGUUAUAGUCUCAUAGUUCCUAACAGGAUCAUGAGACACUUUAAAACUUGCAGGCAUAACUCCAUCCCCCAACUUGAACUGGUCUAUCUUCUUCUCCCGAGAUUGGAGGCGCAAGGUUUUCAAAAGAAAAUUCUUUACUAUAUCAGGUUCACCAUUCAUCAAGAAUGCCAAAGCGCUGGGGACAAAAUCUCUGACAAAAACCUGAUCAUAGUUAAGUUCCUCAGCAGAAUUAUCUAUAGCAGCAAUAGUUCCCACAGGUUGAUCUCGGAAGUUAACAAUAGAACGCCUCAAAGCUUCCCAUGCUUCGCCGAUUAUAGGAUGCGGCUCAUAUCCGAAGGUUGAUCUGGGUGUGUGUAUGCCGGACCACCUUCCUGGUGAAUACACUCCAACCAUAUUAUCAAAAACACGAGAAGAGUUCUCCGAAUUUUUGUAUACCUGACGUGGCGGUGAAUGAGUCAUUGACAUUUCGCUGAAAGAUCUUUCAUCGAACGACCUCUUCCUUUCAAUAUUAACUUGUCUUGGCCUUUCCAGCAAUCUAGCCAAAUCUUCCUCGAUUUCAAACAAGGAUGGAGCAGCUUCCGCGUGUCUUGCAUUCCCAUUUUGAGACACAUCCACAGGGCUAGGCAUCUUCCAAUACUUCCAAAAGUCCUAGACAAUAAGAAAUCGAAUCCAAAGAUCUCAAAGUAUCGGCGGCGGCGGCUACGGCGAACUUCAGUGAGAUCUAAGGUUUCCGAGGAAGACACCAACCAUGAAA